UACGUAGGUGGCAAGCGUUGUCCGGAUUUACUGGGCGUAAAGAGCGCGCAGGCGGUCGUUCAAGUCGCGUGUGAAAGCCCCCGGCUCAACUGGGGAGGGUCACGCGAUACUGAUCGACUCGAAGGCAGGAGAGGGAAGUGGAAUUCCCGGUGUAGUGGUGAAAUGCGUAGAUAUCGGGAGGAACACCAGUGGGAAGGCGACUUCCUGGCCUGUUCUUGACGCUGAGGAGCGAAAGCUAGGGGAGCAAACGGG
RNAcentral lists this ribosomal RNA (252 nucleotides) under uncultured bacterium. Its description in RNAcentral is "partial 16S ribosomal RNA". It matches the Rfam family "Bacterial small subunit ribosomal RNA", at positions 524 to 776 of the family's 1533-position model. The record is from RNAcentral.